UGCAAACAAAGCACCAUUAAGAUUUAGCUGCAGGAAACCUGUGGGCAUCAGCCUCUCAGGUCUGGACCAAGAAGCAAUAAGAGACACAAAAGAAGAACAAGGCAAAUGUGAUACUCAGAUUAAUGGCCGAGAUAUACAGUACUGGUGGGUUAAUUGGCUUCUGGAGAAAAUUGGCCCACACAAAACCUGGUUUGAGUGCGGUAUGAGUGUCUCGGCUCUCCCAGAACCUGUGUUGUGAAAAAGCAAUUAGAAAAUGGAUUGAUGGAUUUUCUGUUUUUGUAACUGAAUCUUGCUUUAAGAAAUGGCGGGACGGGACUGAUAAUCUACUAAAAACCAUUUUAGAUUGGUGAGUCAAUCCGGGCUCUUCUCAGCUUGUAACCUGUCCUAAGAGAACUGAGGGAAAAAGGUGGUGAGGAAUUUCAAGAGACUCAGUGUGACAGUAGCUUGAAAAUAUUUAUUGCCAGAACACACAAAAACUGAAUGAGUCAGAGCACAUCAUAGGAGGAAAUGAAAUAACUGGAAGUUUAGGAUACACACCCCACUUCUAAAACGCAAAGUUCCAUAAACAUUUAUACAUUUUUUUUUCAAAGACUGACUCAUUCACAUAGAAAUGACAGAAACGUUUCUUUCUACAUGCUUCUUAUUGCAACACAUCUGCCUUAAAACACUGAAACAGGAAUCCCUAAAUUAAUGACUUGCAGAAUAUGACUGAGGAAUUAAAUAUAAUUCACUGAAGAAGUAAACAUUGAACCUCUUUCCCAGUAACAUUUGUGGCUAGCCCAGAAAAUUUAUAGAUAACUUCCUCUUCUUCUUCAAUGCAGCAGACCUUAUAGAAUGGAUUAAUUGAAUACUAACUGCCAAAAUGUAAUCAUAAUAAUGAUCUUUUUGUACUGUGUCUUCCAAAACUCAAACCGCAGUCCCUUUUUUUAAAGAAAAAUAGAAAACCACUAGAUAAACCAUAAUAGUAUAAACAGUAUCUUCUUUUAGAUUUACAGGUGUCUGAAAUCAUAACAACUGCCUGGACUGCAAUAACUGCACAAAGUUAUCUUUUCAAUGAAAAUUACAUUCAUCAUGAAUAUAUUACAUUGGAACAUACUGUAGCACUCAGACAGGUAAUCUACAUGAGGAAACCGUAUAUAAAAUGUAUCAAUUUGGCUGUUAACAGUUCACGAAUACAUUAAAAUAAACAGAGAUCUCAUCACUGCUUCAAAAGCAACAGACAACAUUUUCUGUUUUAAUUUAAAAUAAAGUCCAAAUUACAUGACUAAAUUUACCCUAGUUACCUACAGUACAUGUUGUACUCAGCCUGUAAAUUAAAGUUUGUAAGUAGAUAGAACAUAUUUUGUUUCAGUAACAAAGAGGAUUGAACCAUAUUAUUAAAAAUCAAUCCCAAUAAAUCACAUGACUACAUGAUGAAUUCACAGUGAACAAAAACACAUGGGAGAACUUAAUCCAUUCUGUUUCACACUAUGUAAAUUACUUUUCGGUUUUUGAAGUGCUUUAAAUAAACAAAGUGAAAAUACAGAGGAGAAAGAGAUUAUCACUGUCAUAGUGAUAUGGAAUCCCAUGUUUUCCUGAAAGAAAAGAAGAUGUUGAGGAAGAAAUAGGUGAAUGAGGAGAAUCUUCCCUUACCUACAACCUUACAGUACGUGCCAUUAUGUGCUGGCAGCCAUAUCACCCUGCAACUCACAACUGGCUACCCACUGAAGCUAAGCAGGUGUGAGCCUGGUCAGUACCUUGAUGGGAGACCUCCUGGGAAAAACUAAGGUUGCUGCUGGAAGUGGUGUUAAAUAUAGAUUUAACUAUAUUGCUCACUCUGUGGUCCACGUGGGUCCUAAUGCCCGGAAUUGCCGAGAGUCGGAUCCGACUGACCGGAUAACAUCAUCAUCAUAUUCUGGACUGUGAGCAACUCCACUUAGUGCACUUCUCACUGAUUGGAUUGUAUGUAUUGUAUUCUUGUAUUAUUGUAUCAUUUCGUUACACUGUU
Long non-coding RNA from Lepisosteus oculatus (spotted gar), 1987 nucleotides. RefSeq lists it as uncharacterized. The record is from RefSeq and is a predicted model, not a curated record. Lineage: Eukaryota; Metazoa; Chordata; Actinopteri; Semionotiformes; Lepisosteidae.